This 205-nucleotide ribosomal RNA is filed under the name uncultured bacterium. Its description in RNAcentral is "partial 16S ribosomal RNA". It matches the Rfam family "Bacterial small subunit ribosomal RNA", at positions 521 to 725 of the family's 1533-position model. The record is from RNAcentral.
UAAUACGAAGGGGGCUAGCGUUGUUCGGAAUUACUGGGCGUAAAGCGCGCGCAGGCGGCUUGGUAAGUUGGGGGUGAAAUCCCUGGGCUCAACCCAGGAAUGGCCUUCAAGACUGCUUGGCUGGAGGACGAGAGAGGUGAGUGGAAUUCCCAGUGUAGAGGUGAAAUUCGUAGAUAUUGGGAAGAACACCGGUGGCGAAGGCGGC